ACUCCUACGGGAGGCAGCAGUAGGGAAUCUUCCACAAUGGGCGCAAGCCUGAUGGAGCAACACCGCGUGAGUGAAGAAGGGUUUCGGCUCGUAAAGCUCUGUUGUUAAAGAAGAACACGUAUGAGAGUAACUGUUCAUACGUUGACGGUAUUUAACCAGAAAGUCACGGCUAACUACGUGCCAGCAGCCGCGGUAAUACGUAGGUGGCAAGCGUUAUCCGGAUUUAUUGGGCGUAAAGAGAGUGCAGGCGGUUUUCUAAGUCUGAUGUGAAAGCCUUCGGCUUAACCGGAGAAGUGCAUCGGAAACUGGAUAACUUGAGUGCAGAAGAGGGUAGUGGAACUCCAUGUGUAGCGGUGGAAUGCGUAGAUAUAUGGAAGAACACCAGUGGCGAAGGCGGCUACCUGGUCUGCAACUGACGCUGAGACUCGAAAGCA
This 434-nucleotide ribosomal RNA is filed under the name uncultured bacterium. Its description in RNAcentral is "bacterial SSU rRNA". It matches the Rfam family "Bacterial small subunit ribosomal RNA", at positions 335 to 761 of the family's 1533-position model. The record is from RNAcentral.